GCCUGACCUCAGUCAUAUACCUGAAGUUGCAAUACAGUGCAAGAGAAUGGUCAAAUACAUCUGUGAAGUGGUAGCAUGGUUCACACAACAAAAGCAGUAAAACAGUGGAAUAAUGUGCAUGAACUAUUUUAAGAGUCUUUGGUUCCUGUUUGGUUCAGCGAAAAUGUUCCAUCUAAAAAGAAUGAAGCCCCAGCACUUGUGGUGCCUAGUCUAUGUGCAAUGACAGACAUCCCCCACUCACGAAGGAUUGCAAGAACUGAUCUCAAAAGGCGCAACUUUAGAUUUAGUGAAGGCAUGAUUGCGCCAUUUGAUAACAGUUGAUCAUACACGGCAAGCACUGGUUCAGGAAGACCUUUACAGGCACCAAGAAGAGCUCUUGCAACAUCAUCAUCACCAACCAAUUCUUCUCCUGAACUUAAUCUAUCCUGUAGGGAAGAGCAGGAUAAUGUGAGUACCACAGUGGAAUGCCCUCAGAGUUAGCCUCAAGCAUGCAGGAUCAAGUUUCGAGCCUACUCUUUUCACCACAGAACAUGCUUCUGCAACACCACCUCUUGUAAGUGCCUGGUCAAGGAGUCUAGCCCAAAUUUCUCGAACAAUUUUGCUAUCAGCAUCUCCAGAGUAAUUAGCAAAG
Molecule: long non-coding RNA, 631 nt
Organism: Panicum hallii
Lineage: Eukaryota; Viridiplantae; Streptophyta; Magnoliopsida; Poales; Poaceae
Exons: 3
Source: RefSeq, a predicted model, not a curated record